AGAGUUUGAUCCUGGCUCAGAUUGAACGCUGGCGGCAUGCCUUACACAUGCAAGUCGAACGGUAGCGGGCCUUCGGGUGCCGACGAGUGGCGAACGGGUGAGUAAUGUAUCGGAACGUACCUUUCAGUGGGGGAUAACGUAGCGAAAGUUACGCUAAUACCGCAUAUUCUGUGAGCAGGAAAGCAGGGGAUCGCAAGACCUUGCGCUGAUUGAGCGGCCGAUAUCAGAUUAGCUAGUUGGUGAGGUAAAGGCUCACCAAGGCGACGAUCUGUAGCGGGUCUGAGAGGAUGAUCCGCCACACUGGAACUGAGACACGGUCCAGACUCCUACGGGAGGCAGCAGUGGGGAAUUUUGGACAAUGGGGGCAACCCUGAUCCAGCCAUGCCGCGUGAGUGAAGAAGGCCUUCGGGUUGUAAAGCUC
Molecule: ribosomal RNA, 421 nt
Filed under: uncultured bacterium
Lineage: Bacteria
Description: bacterial SSU rRNA
Rfam family: Bacterial small subunit ribosomal RNA
Source: RNAcentral